This 468-nucleotide ribosomal RNA is filed under the name uncultured bacterium. RNAcentral describes it as "partial 16S ribosomal RNA". It matches the Rfam family "Bacterial small subunit ribosomal RNA", at positions 28 to 507 of the family's 1533-position model. The record is from RNAcentral.
GACGAACGCUGGCGGCGUGCUUAACACAUGCAAGUCGAACGGACCGGCCGGGCUUUUGUGGGGUGCUCGAGUGGCCAACGGGUGAGUCACACUUGAGUUACCUGCACUUGACUUUAGGAUAUUUUCAUGGACAAGGGGCUAAUUCCGGAUAGGAGCUCCUGCUGCGUGGUGGGGGCUGGUACGUUUAGGCGGUUGGGGAUGGAGACGCGGCUGAUCGGCUUGCUGGUGGGGUAGUGGCUUACCAAGGCUCUGCCGGGUAGCCGGCCUGAGAGGGUGACCGGCCACGUUGGGGCUGAGCUACGGCGCAGACUCCUACGGGAGGCAGCAGUGCGGAAGAGUGCACAGUGGGCGGAAGCAUGAUGCAGCAACGCCGCGUGCGGGAUGACGGCCAGCGGGUUGGAAAGCGCUUUGGCCUGUGACGAGGCGUGAGUGACGGUAAUGGGGAAAGAAGCACCGGCUAACUACGUG